UUAAGCGACUAAGCGUACACGGUGGAUGCCCUGGCAGUCAGAGGCGAUGAAGGGCGUGCUAAUCUGCGAUAAGCGCCGGUAAGGUGAUAUGAACCGUUAUAACCGGCGAUACCCGAAUGGGGAAACCCAGUGUGACUCGUCACACUAUCAUUAACUGAAUCCAUAGGUUAAUGAGGCGAACCGGGGGAACUGAAACAUCUAAGUACCCCGAGGAAAAGAAAUCAACCGAGAUUCCCCCAGUAGCGGCGAGCGAACGGGGAGGAGCCCAGAGCCUGAAUCAGCAUGUGUGUUAGUGGAAGCGUCUGGAAAGGCGCGCGAUACAGGGUGACAGCCCCGUACACAAAAGCGCAUGUGCUGUGAGCUCGAUGAGUAGGGCGGGACACGUGGUAUCCUGUCUGAAUAUGGGGGGACCAUCCUCCAAGGCUAAAUACUCCUGACUGACCGAUAGUGAACCAGUACCGUGAGGGAAAGGCGAAAAGAACCCCGGCGAGGGGAGUGAAAAAGAACCUGAAACCGUGUACGUACAAGCAGUGGGAGCCCCACCACCAAAGCAUUCUCUGGUGUUGAAGGCCCUGCAAAGCAGCAUCGCGGUGGCGGAGCGUCGUUUGCGACGCCCAACACACAAAACAAGCGGUGAGUGCUUUGGGGUGGGGUGACUGCGUACCUUUUGUAUAAUGGGUCAGCGACUUAUAUUCUGUAGCAAGGUUAACCGUAUAGGGGAGCCGCAGGGAAACCGAGUCUUAACCGGGCGUUAAGUUGCAGGGUAUAGACCCGAAACCCGGUGAUCUAGUCAUGGGCAGGUUGAAGGUUGGGUAACACUAACUGGAGGACCGAACCGACUAAUGUUGAAAAAUUAGCGGAUGACCUGUGGCUGGGGGUGAAAGGCCAAUCAAACCGGGAGAUAGCUGGUUCUCCCCGAAAGCUAUUUAGGUAGCGCCUCGUGAAUUCAUCUCCGGGGGUAGAGCACUGUUUCGGCUAGGGGGCCAUCCCGGCUUACCAACCCGAUGCAAACUGCGAAUACCGGAGAAUGUUAUCACGGGAGACACACGGCGGGUGCUAACGUCCGUCGUGAAGAGGGAAACAACCCAGACCGCCAGCUAAGGUCCCAAAGUCAUGGUUAAGUGGGAAACGAUGUGGGAAGGCCCAGACAGCCAGGAUGUUGGCUUAGAAGCAGCCAUCAUUUAAAGAAAGCGUAAUAGCUCACUGGUCGAGUCGGCCUGCGCGGAAGAUGUAACGGGGCUAAACCAUGCACCGAAGCUGCGGCAGCGACACUCAGGUGUUGUUGGGUAGGGGAGCGUUCUGUAAGCCUGCGAAGGUGGCCUGUGAGGGUUGCUGGAGGUAUCAGAAGUGCGAAUGCUGACAUAAGUAACGAUAAAGCGGGUGAAAAGCCCGCUCGCCGGAAGACCAAGGGUUCCUGUCCAACGUUAAUCGGGGCAGGGUGAGUCGACCCCUAAGGCGAGGCCGAAAGGCGUAGUCGAUGGGAAACGGGUUAAUAUUCCCGUACUUGGUGUUACUGCGAAGGGGGGACGGAGAAGGCUAUGUUGGCCGGGCGACGGUUGUCCCGGUUUAAGCGUGUAGGUGUGUGUUCCAGGUAAAUCCGGUUCACUUUAACACUGAGGCGUGACGACGAGGCACUACGGUGCUGAAGCAACAAAUGCCCUGCUUCCAGGAAAAGCCUCUAAGCAUCAGGUAACAUCAAAUCGUACCCCAAACCGACACAGGUGGUCAGGUAGAGAAUACCAAGGCGCUUGAGAGAACUCGGGUGAAGGAACUAGGCAAAAUGGUGCCGUAACUUCGGGAGAAGGCACGCUGACACGUAGGUGAAGUGAUUUACUCAUGGAGCUGAAGUCAGUCGAAGAUACCAGCUGGCUGCAACUGUUUAUUAAAAACACAGCACUGUGCAAACACGAAAGUGGACGUAUACGGUGUGACGCCUGCCCGGUGCCGGAAGGUUAAUUGAUGGGGUCAGCGCAAGCGAAGCUCCUGAUCGAAGCCCCGGUAAACGGCGGCCGUAACUAUAACGGUCCUAAGGUAGCGAAAUUCCUUGUCGGGUAAGUUCCGACCUGCACGAAUGGCGUAAUGAUGGCCAGGCUGUCUCCACCCGAGACUCAGUGAAAUUGAACUCGCUGUGAAGAUGCAGUGUACCCGCGGCAAGACGGAAAGACCCCGUGAACCUUUACUAUAGCUUGACACUGAACAUUGAGCCUUGAUGUGUAGGAUAGGUGGGAGGCUUUGAAGUGUGGACGCCAGUCUGCAUGGAGCCGACCUUGAAAUACCACCCUUUAAUGUUUGAUGUUCUAACGUGGACCCGUAAUCCGGGUUGCGGACAGUGUCUGGUGGGUAGUUUGACUGGGGCGGUCUCCUCCUAAAGAGUAACGGAGGAGCACGAAGGUUGGCUAAUCCUGGUCGGACAUCAGGAGGUUAGUGCAAUGGCAUAAGCCAGCUUGACUGCGAGCGUGACGGCGCGAGCAGGUGCGAAAGCAGGUCAUAGUGAUCCGGUGGUUCUGAAUGGAAGGGCCAUCGCUCAACGGAUAAAAGGUACUCCGGGGAUAACAGGCUGAUACCGCCCAAGAGUUCAUAUCGACGGCGGUGUUUGGCACCUCGAUGUCGGCUCAUCACAUCCUGGGGCUGAAGUAGGUCCCAAGGGUAUGGCUGUUCGCCAUUUAAAGUGGUACGCGAGCUGGGUUUAGAACGUCGUGAGACAGUUCGGUCCCUAUCUGCCGUGGGCGCUGGAGAACUGAGGGGGGCUGCUCCUAGUACGAGAGGACCGGAGUGGACGCAUCACUGGUGUUCGGGUUGUCAUGCCAAUGGCACUGCCCGGUAGCUAAAUGCGGAAGAGAUAAGUGCUGAAAGCAUCUAAGCACGAAACUUGCCCCGAGAUGAGUUCUCCCUGAGACUUAGAGUCUCCUGAAGGAACGUUGAAGACGACGACGUUGAUAGGCCGGGUGUGUAAGCGCAGCGAUGCGUUGAGCUAACCGGUACUAAUGAACCGUGAGGCUUAACCUU
Molecule: ribosomal RNA, 3006 nt
Filed under: Salmonella enterica
Lineage: Bacteria; Pseudomonadati; Pseudomonadota; Gammaproteobacteria; Enterobacterales; Enterobacteriaceae
Description: bacterial LSU rRNA
Rfam family: Bacterial large subunit ribosomal RNA
Source: RNAcentral